RNAcentral lists this ribosomal RNA (387 nucleotides) under uncultured bacterium. RNAcentral's name for it is "bacterial SSU rRNA". It matches the Rfam family "Bacterial small subunit ribosomal RNA", at positions 355 to 754 of the family's 1533-position model. The record is from RNAcentral.
UGGGGAAUAUUGCGCAAUGGGCGAAAGCCUGACGCAGCAACACCGCGUGAGGGAUGACGGCCUUCGGGUUGUAAACCUCUUUCAGCUCCGACGAAGCGAAAGUGACGGUAGGAGCAGAAGAAGCACCGGCUAACUACGUGCCAGCAGCCGCGGUAAUACGUAGGGUGCAAGCGUUGUCCGGAAUUAUUGGGCGUAAAGAGCUCGUAGGCGGUUCGGUAAGUCGGGUGUGAAAUCCAAGGCUCAACCUUGGGACGCCACCCGAUACUGCUGUGACUCGAGUGCAGUAGGGGAGCAGGGAAUUCCUGGUGUAGCGGUGAAAUGCGCAGAUAUCAGGAGGAACACCAGUGGCGAAGGCGCUGCUCUGGGCUGUAACUGACGCUGAGGAGC